CGCAGAGCACAGAGAUGGGCAUGGUGACCAGUGGAGGGAGGAGGACUACGUCGUCGGAGGUGGCGUCGGCGGCAACCGACGAGCAUGAUGCCCUGAUGGUCGUGGAGCUAGAUGGGAGAUGGCAGUGAGGAGAUGCCCUGAUGGUCGUGGAGCUAGAUGGAAGGUGGCAGUGAGGAGAACGGAGAGGAGGGCGGCAAGGAGAACGAGGAGGUUCGAAACCAAAAAAAAAGAAAACACCUUAGGGAGAUUGGAGGAGGAAGGGCGACACCGGUGACGGUGGAGAGGAAGGCGACGGUGG
Molecule: long non-coding RNA, 298 nt
Filed under: Elaeis guineensis (African oil palm)
Lineage: Eukaryota; Viridiplantae; Streptophyta; Magnoliopsida; Arecales; Arecaceae
Description: long non-coding RNA (EGUI_LNC020826)
Source: RNAcentral